UACGUAGGGGGCUAGCGUUGUCCGGAAUCAUUGGGCGUAAAGCGCGUGUAGGCGGUUCGGCAAGUCCGCUGUGAAAGUCGGGGGCUCAACCCUCGGAUGCCGGUGGAUACUGUCGGGCUAGAGUGCGGGAGAGGCGAGUGGAAUUCCUGGUGUAGCGGUGAAAUGCGCAGAUAUCAGGAGGAACACCAAUUGCGAAGGCAGCUCGCUGGAACGUAACUGACGCUGAGACGCGAAAGCGUGGGGAGCAAACAGG
This 253-nucleotide ribosomal RNA is filed under the name uncultured bacterium. Its description in RNAcentral is "partial 16S ribosomal RNA". It matches the Rfam family "Bacterial small subunit ribosomal RNA", at positions 524 to 776 of the family's 1533-position model. The record is from RNAcentral.